Molecule: long non-coding RNA, 830 nt
Filed under: Mytilus galloprovincialis (Mediterranean mussel)
Lineage: Eukaryota; Metazoa; Mollusca; Bivalvia; Mytilida; Mytilidae
Source: RNAcentral
UGGGCUUCAGAUAAAGCAAAAGAUGGCUAUGUAAGAGAAAAUAUAAAAGAAAAACUGACAGUGUCUAAAAGUUUGGGAAUAUAAUUUUCAUAAAUAUACUUUAUACAUUGUAUAUGUAUCACUCUAUGUUCACAUCUCACAUCUACUUGCAUUUUUUGCUUUCUUUGUCUUUCGAAAGGCUGCUACAGCUGUAGGCACACUUAUCCUAUUUAUGUGUUGUUUUAUUUAUUAAAUAAUUUAUAUUCGUUUGAGUUGGCGAAUUAGAAUAUAAAUAUAUUUAUUAAAGGUAUUAAGUCACAUGACGUUGUAACGGUCAAGUGAUUGUUUACUAUAAACACGUGUGUGUGUUUAUAUCAAGCACAUGGUGUGUGUUUACGUUCUAUUUGAUUGGAUGGCAUAUACCCGUAUUGCCGGUUUUACGGGUAUAUGCCCUCAUGAUUUUCGUGAAAAGCAUGAUUAAGUAUUACUUAAGGGGUUAGCUUGAGAAAAUUAAAUUAUUCGAAGUUUGCCUAUAGUUCAACGUAGCAGCAUUCGUUAUUAUGUUUACCCACCCACCCACCCUUUUAUGAGAUGGUUAUCGUUAAUGGGAGUAUAUGCAUAUAUUACAUUAUAUUAAUAUGAAUUUUUCCUCUUUUGUAGAUAGUUUUUGAUUGUGUUACUGUUACUGUAUAUAACUGUGCUAUUGUAUGAUUGGACUGAUGGUAGUGUGCCUGAAUUUAAAGUGAAGGACUUUAGUUUGAGAAUGAAAUUGAAUGUAAUGUAAUAUUAAAGGCUGCUACAGCUGUAGGCACACUUAUCCUAUUUAUGUGUUGUUUUAUUUAUUAAAUAAU